Molecule: ribosomal RNA, 1000 nt
Filed under: Streptococcus pneumoniae
Lineage: Bacteria; Bacillati; Bacillota; Bacilli; Lactobacillales; Streptococcaceae
Description: bacterial SSU rRNA
Rfam family: Bacterial small subunit ribosomal RNA
Source: RNAcentral
AGAGUUUGAUCCUGGCUCAGGAUGAACGCUGGCGGCGUGCCUAAUACAUGCAAGUCGAGCGAACAGAUAAGGAGCUUGCUCCUUUGACGUUAGCGGCGGACGGGUGAGUAACACGUGGAUAACCUACCUAUAAGACUGGGAUAACUUCGGGAAACCGGAGCUAAUACCGGAUAACAUAUUGAACCGCAUGGUUCAAUAGUGAAAGGCGGCUUUGCUGUCACUUAUAGAUGGAUCCGCGCCGUAUUAGCUAGUUGGUAAGGUAACGGCUUACCAAGGCAACGAUACGUAGCCGACCUGAGAGGGUGAUCGGCCACACUGGAACUGAGACACGGUCCAGACUCCUACGGGAGGCAGCAGUAGGGAAUCUUCCGCAAUGGGCGAAAGCCUGACGGAGCAACGCCGCGUGAGUGAUGAAGGUCUUCGGAUCGUAAAACUCUGUUAUCAGGGAAGAACAAAUGUGUAAGUAACUGUGCACAUCUUGACGGUACCUGAUCAGAAAGCCACGGCUAACUACGUGCCAGCAGCCGCGGUAAUACGUAGGUGGCAAGCGUUAUCCGGAAUUAUUGGGCGUAAAGCGCGCGUAGGCGGUUUUUUAAGUCUGAUGUGAAAGCCCACGGCUCAACCGUGGAGGGUCAUUGGAAACUGGAAAACUUGAGUGCAGAAGAGGAAAGUGGAAUUCCAUGUGUAGCGGUGAAAUGCGCAGAGAUAUGGAGGAACACCAGUGGCGAAGGCGACUUUCUGGUCUGUAACUGACGCUGAUGUGCGAAAGCGUGGGGAUCAAACAGGAUUAGAUACCCUGGUAGUCCACGCCGUAAACGAUGAGUGCUAAGUGUUAGGGGGUUUCCGCCCCUUAGUGCUGCAGCUAACGCAUUAAGCACUCCGCCUGGGGAGUACGACCGCAAGGUUGAAACUCAAAGGAAUUGACGGGGGCCCGCACAAGCGGUGGAGCAUGUGGUUUAAUUCGAAGCAACGCGAAGAACCUUACCAGGUCUUGACAUCC